Non-coding RNA from Misgurnus anguillicaudatus (oriental weatherfish), 1618 nucleotides. Lineage: Eukaryota; Metazoa; Chordata; Actinopteri; Cypriniformes; Cobitidae. The record is from RefSeq and is a predicted model, not a curated record.
ACCUUCAUAUGAGCACACAUUGAGUGUGCAGCGUGCUUACACAUUAAAAUCAUGACCCACACAGUGAGUAUCUUGUGAGCUCAUGGUGACUUCCCUUACGAAAAUUAACCAUGGUUUUACUACAGUUAACUUAAAACCAAAAAAGCAUGGUUACUGUAGUAAAACCAUGGUAACCACAAAAUAACCAUGGUUUUGACAACCAUGUUUUUCUAAAACCACAGAACCAUGGUUAGUGUAGCCGUUUAGUGUAGUAAAACCAUGGUCAAAGACCCGAGGUGAGGUAUACAUUAAAGGGUUAACCUGAAGUAGUAAAACCAAAAGAAAGUCAGCAUCUCUUUAGUGUCCUCACUAAUAUAAGAAAUUACUAGUUUGUCUUCCACCCAGUGCAAGCUUUUUACAUGAACCCCCAAACCCCACCCAGAAAAACACAGCACAACUUAUUAAAGUUUAUUUAAUUUAUUUUAAUGUUUGAUUGUUCUGUGAAAUACAGUGGUAAUUAAGUGCUAAAAAUCUACAAGAAUUGAAUUUGUUUCACGUUUUUUUUUUUUUUUUUUGCGCCACUGGGUCAAUACAACGUAGUACGCAUGUGUCUGCAGGAAGAGCCGCUUGUGCGAGUGCUCCAUACUCCAAUCCAGUAGGUGGCGGUAAAUGCACCUUAAGUUGGUUUGCCACCCACCAUUUAAACAACAAAAGAAGAAGAAGAAGAAGAAGAAGCCGCUUGUGCGCAUGUGUCUGCAUCCAAAGGUUACCACGACAAGUUUGCGACUGAGUAAAUACAGAUACUACAGUUCGUGAUCUGGAGCUUGACUUCACAUGUUUUGUGGUGAUUAAAGGCGGAGUCCAUGAUGUUUGAAAGCCAAUGUUGAUAUUUGAAAUCACCUAAACAAACACGCCCCUACCCCAAUAGAAUCUGGACCUUCUGUUGAUAGACCCGCCACACACAUAUGCAACCCGGCAAGGAUGUCGGUUAGUAGACACGCUCCUUACUGCUGAUUGGCUAUAAGUGUGUUUUGGUAGUCGGCCCGUCUCCUUUUCCAAAGCGUUUUUCAAACAUCGUGGACUCCGCCUUUAACAAAUUGUGCGGUGCUUUUGGCAUUGUCUAUCCAUGUAUAAUUGUGAUGUUCCAGGAGUGCUAAUGGAAGCUACACAGUAUGUAGAUGUUUGUUCCAGUAUGUUUAUGUGUGUGUACCUGGUAAUUAUCACGUUGUGGGGACCGAAUGUCCCCACAAAGAUAGGAAUACCAGUAAAUUUUGACCUCGUGGGGACAUUUGUGAGGUCCCCAUGAGGAACCAAGCUUAUAAAUCAAACGGAAUGAUGUUUCUUGAAAAUCUAAGGUCGCAGAAAGUUUUCUGUGAUGGUUGGGGUAAGGGUUUAGGGAAGGGAAUAGAAUAUACAGUUUGUACAGUAUAAAAUGCAUUACGUUUAUGGAAUGUCCCCACAAAACAUGGAAACCAGAAUGUGUGUGUGUGUGUGCGUGCCAUGGAACAAAUAUUUAUUUUAUACCUUUUUGUGUGUUCUGUUUUUGACUUUUUUCCCCUGAUAUCAAGACACCAAAAUAAUGUUUUAAUACGCAUUUUCAUGUGUUUGUAAAGAAAAUAAAUGGUGUACUUCACUGUUA